UACGAAGGGUGCAAGCGUUACUCGGAAUUACUGGGCGUAAAGCGCGCGUAGGCGGCUUUGUAAGUUAGAGGUGAAAGCCCGGAGCUCAACUCCGGAAUUGCCUUUAAGACUGCAUCGCUAGAAUCAUGGAGAGGUGAGUGGAAUUCCGAGUGUAGAGGUGAAAUGCGUAGAUAUCAGGAGGAACACCUGUGGUGUAGACGGCUUUCUGGACCAUUGCUGACGCUGAGACACGAAAAGCGUGGGUAGCAAACAGG
RNAcentral lists this ribosomal RNA (254 nucleotides) under uncultured bacterium. Its description in RNAcentral is "partial 16S ribosomal RNA". It matches the Rfam family "Bacterial small subunit ribosomal RNA", at positions 524 to 776 of the family's 1533-position model. The record is from RNAcentral.